This 436-nucleotide ribosomal RNA is filed under the name uncultured Alphaproteobacteria bacterium. RNAcentral describes it as "bacterial SSU rRNA". It matches the Rfam family "Bacterial small subunit ribosomal RNA", at positions 46 to 526 of the family's 1533-position model. Lineage: Bacteria; Pseudomonadati; Pseudomonadota; Alphaproteobacteria. The record is from RNAcentral.
GCUUAACACAUGCAAGUCGAACGGGCGUAGCAAUACGUCAGUGGCAGACGGGUGAGUAACGCGUGGGAACGUACCUUUUGGUUCGGAACAACUGAGGGAAACUUCAGCUAAUACCGAAUAAGCCCUUACGGGGAAAGAUUUAUCGCCGAAAGAUCGGCCCGCGUCUGAUUAGCUUGUUGGUGAGGUAACGGCUCACCAAGGCGACGAUCAGUAGCUGGUCUGAGAGGAUGAUCAGCCACAUUGGGACUGAGACACGGCCCAAACUCCUACGGGAGGCAGCAGUGGGGAAUAUUGGACAAUGGGCGAAAGCCUGAUCCAGCCAUGCCGCGUGAGUGAUGAAGGCCCUAGGGUUGUAAAGCUCUUUUGUGCGGGAAGAUAAUGACGGUACCGCAAGAAUAAGCCCCGGCUAACUUCGUGCCAGCAGCCGCGGUAAUAC